Long non-coding RNA from Salvelinus fontinalis (brook trout), 4491 nucleotides. RefSeq lists it as uncharacterized. The transcript is spliced from 4 exons. The record is from RefSeq and is a predicted model, not a curated record. NCBI's taxonomy places the organism in Eukaryota, Metazoa, Chordata, Actinopteri, Salmoniformes, Salmonidae.
AUAAACAGGGAGGAGGGGUUGCAAUUGAAACAUUGGCUUUCCAUUACGUAGACACGUGGUUUCGGCGCGGUGAUAUCACGGACGCUUUCAGGAAUUAUGCGAAGAGACAGAAUUGUCUCUAUGAUUGAUGGUAUGUCAGUGACUUUUCAGGAGUUUAUUGUCAUACUAAACUGAUUUUCUGCAUUGAGUUUGGACUAAUUUAUCGGCUAAUGGCUGCAUCGUAACAGUGCUACUAGACUAUAGCUAGUCAUAGCAUACCAAAUCUAUAAUAUCAUGUGUGCCCAAUUCAUAUUCGAUUCUGAAGCGUCGGGUUUAUUAAAUGGUCCCGGAUUGUAGCCUGUGUGACAGGGGUGUUCCGGGAAGAAGUCACAGGUGCUGGUAGUGGUAUUCAUCCGUGAUAGGCUGUCGGGGAUCCUUGCGUGUAGCGCGGUGACAGGUAGUGUUCUAAGCAGAAGUGAAAUACAGUAUCGGCUACAACAGCUGAUGUCAACAUAACGACAGGUGGCAUGCAAAACAAUGGACUCGGUGUAAUAGCUUGGUUGAGGUCCCAAGAUUGUCAUCUACGUACGCCUGCCAGUUGCGUACAUACUGCCUGAGGAGGGACCCUGGAUUCUUCCAGGAGACGUGGAUCGGUUGCACUGGAGGAACGACUCGGGUUAUGAGCCGGCUUGUGACAAGUGGGGGGGAGAAAAAGGAAUGAGGUGUGGAAUGCUGAAGCAGUGAAGAUGGGUCCAGGCCGAGGGAUCCUAAGAGGCUCCCUGUGAGUUGGCAGAGGUUCUUCAGCUGCACCAUUGAGAACAUCCUGACGGGUUGCAUCACUGCCAGGUGUGGCAACUGCUCGUCCUUCGACCCCAAGGCACUACAGAGGGUAGUGCGUACGGUCCAGUACAUCACUGGGGCCAAGCUUUCUGUCAUCCAGGACCUCUAUACCAGGCGGUGUCAGAGGAACGCCCUAAAAAUGAUCAGACUCCAGCCACCCUAGUCAUAGACUGUUCUCUCUGCUACCCCAUGGCAAGCGGUACCGGAGCGCUAAGUCUAGGUCCAAGAGGCUUCUAAAUCGCUUCUACCCCCAAGCCUCCUGAACAUCUAAUCAAAUGGCUACCCAGACUAUUUGCUUUGCCCCCCCACUUUUUUUUUUUUUACACCGCUGCUACUCUCUGUUAUCAUCUAUGCAUAGUCCCUUUAAUAUCUCUACCUACAUGUACAUAUUACCUCAACUAACCGGUGCCCCCACACAUUGACUCUAUACCGGUACCCCCCUGUAUAUUGUCUCGCUAUUGUUAUUUUACUGCUGCUCUAUAAUUACUUGUUACUUUUAUUUCUUAUUCAUAUUAGAUUUUUUUUUAAACUGCAUUGUUGGUUGAGGGCUUGUUGGUUGAGGGCUUGUUGGUUGAGGGCUUGUUGGUUGAGGGCUUGUUGGUUGAGGGCUUGUUGGUUGAGGGCACUGUAAGGUGUUGUAUUCAGCGCAUGUGACUAAUAACAUUUUAUUAGAUUUGAGAAAUGGAUGAAUAGGAAGGCUGUAACCAACCUCCCACUCCAGUACAGUAGGUGGUAGUGUAUGCACCUUUCAGUUGGUUGUGAUCUGCUAAUACAAAUGUGAAGAAGUAGAGAAGAACGUAAUUGACUGACGCACGUUUCCUUGCAAUCAGGGUGGAGGCAGCAUAAUGCUGUGGGAUGUUUUUCAUCCUGCGUUGUCUUGGUUAUGUGCUUAGGGUUGUUGUCCUGUUGGAAGGUGAACCGUCUCCCCAGUCUGAGGUCCUGAUAGCUCUUAAGCAGGUUUUCAUUAAGGAUCUCUCUGUACUUUGCUAUGUUCAUCUUUCCCUAUAUCCUGACAAGUCUCCCAGUCUAUGCAGCUGAAAAACAUCCCACAGCAUUAUGCUGCCUCCACCAUGCUUCACCGUAUGGAUGGUGCCAGGUUUCCUCCAGAUGUGACGAUUGGCAUUCAGGCCAAAGAGUUCAAUCUUGGUUUCAUCAGGACAGAGAAUCUUGUUUCUCAUGGUCAGUCUUUAGGUGCCUUUUGGCAAUUCCAAGCAGGUUGUCAUGUGCCUUUUACUGAGGAGUGGCUUCUGUCUGGCAACUAUACCAUAAAGGCCUGAUUGGUGGAGUGCUACAGAGAUGGUUGUCCUUCUGGAAGAUUCUCCCAUCUCCACAGAGGAACUCUGGAGCCAUGUCAGUGACCAUCGGGUUCCUGUUCACCUCCCUGACCAAAGCCCUUCUCCCCUUGAUUGCUCAGUUUGGCCUUGCGGCCAGCUCUAGGAAGAGUCUUGGUGGUUCCAAACUUCCUCCAUUUAAGAAUGAUUGAGGCCACUGUGUUCUUGGGGACCUUACCCAGAUCUGUGCCUCGACACAAUCCUGUCUUUGCGCUCUACGGAGCAUUUCCUUCAACCUCAAGGCUUGGUUUUUGUUUUAUGCUCUGACAUGCACUGUCAACUGUUGGGACCGUUAUAUAGAAGGGUGUGUGCCUUUCCAAAUCAUGUCCAAUCAAUUGAAUUUACCACAGGUGGACUCCAAUCUGUUUUUUAUUUUUAACACAUUUAUAAACAUUUCCAAACCUGCUUUCGAUUUUUCAUUAUGGGCUAUUGUGUGUAGACUGAGGAGAGAAAAAAAACGAUUUACUCAAUUUUAGAAUAAGGCUGUAAUGUAACAAUGUGGAAAAAGACAAGAGGUCUGAAUACUUUCCAAAUGGCCCGUAUUAGCUAGUUAACCAUCUGAUAAAGUUUAUUGUUGUGGUUCGCUCUUGUCCCAGAGCCCCCGAUGCUUGGCAAGUGAUCGCCAACAUCAAAAAAUGGGGCGACAAUAUCAGUCCCUCUACCCAUGUCUGGUCCGCCUUCAGCUGGCAGCCAGGCAGUUCCCCUCUGUCCCCAACAUUAGGCCGCCUCACCGCCGGAUUCCUGUAACUUCGGACCACCGAGCCAACGGUGACCCUCAUUGCCCCCCACGACACCCCCUCUCUCUGAGGCACCCCACCUCCUUCUAGGCAGAGGCACUCAUCGCUGCGCCGUGCACCACCGUCAAUGAUUGUUGGGGGAAGCUCCAUGUGCCCUAGAGCUCUCGGCGCUCAGCCAUCCCAGGCAGCUGGCUCCUUGCGACCUAGAAAUCCACAACCUCCCCCUCCCUAGAUAACCAUCAUUGGGAGUUCCAGUGUACAGGAUGUGGUGGUUAAUAAUGGCCCACAGACAUUCUGCUACCAGAGUGUGUGACAUCACGUGGGAGCUUGCAGUCUUUCUCGACCAAAACCCGGAGCUGCACACAGUGGUUGUGCAUAUUGUAUUUGUCUCCACUUUUCUUAGGCCUAUUAGAUAGUUGCAGACUAUCAUUUUUAAUCUGUUUGUCAGUGUCAGCUUAGUAUAGGCUAACCAGUAAAUUUUUGUCAUAUUAAAAAAUAUUCUCAGGUCAUAUAAAGUGGAAUAGAAUUGCAUGAAAUUUGAUUAGAAAAUGCAACUGUUUUCCAGGCAAAGAAAGGAAUCACAGUGAUUGAGUUAUAUUAUUAGCCUAAGUUGUGACUAUCCAAUUUACUCGUCACAUUAGGAAUAGUAGGCUAUCUUACAUAAGUCUGCAAAUGUGGUGAUGCAUGGAAUGCUUUAUUAUAAAUGUGAAAAUUUGCUUCCCCAAACUUCAGACUCAUGUGCCACCGAUGCCCCGGUACCAAAAAAAAUAAAAUGUCUCGGUAAUCCCUCCCCGUUUCAGUACUUGUCCAAUAAGAAAUGAACAUUUUCGUUUUCUUUUGCCAAAACAUUCAAAAAAAUGUCCCGUGUGUGCCCUAAUGAACACAGCCCUACAUUACCAGGAUCAGAAUGACCCUGAAGCUGGAGACACCAGCGGAUAAGAUAAUCAAAUAGUUAGCUGCAGAGGAGAAUCUCGAGAUGGUGAAUAUAACAAAAAGAUGAGGGCUGAGUGGAUACAUUUUCAGAUACAGAGGUGAUAUAGUGACCCAGGUGAAACUUCUGACAUGACAAGGCUACGUUUCUAAGAAUAUGCAGUGUAUAUAAUACAUCCACUAUUGAAAACCAUUUAUUUGAAAUACAUUAAAUUGUACACUCUUGUGGUUGAGUGUUAGAUUUCUAAUGCUCAACCAUUAAUUACUUUUCUGAUGUUUAAAAAAAAGAUGUGUCAUGCCAGUGAGCGGAAGUUGUUUCAAACAGAGCCAAUGAAAAUACGUCUGAAUUUUGUUUUUAAUCCUCAAUGACAUUUAAUGUGUGUAUUGUUGUAUUUGGCAACUCUAUGUAUUUUACAUUUGUCAAAUCAAUUCCGAUUCGGUUCUGGUUUUACAUUUUCAUCUACUGUACAGUACUAAUGGCAGUUCUACUUUUCACAAGCAGGUAGGUGUGUUACGCUGUACAAGUUCAUUCAUGACAGUUCAUUUCUGAGCCCCAAUGGCUGCGUAUAGACAGGUAGCCCAAUACUGAUCUUUUUUUCUCACAAAUUGGUCUUUUGAUCAGAUACUGUCAAAUCAAAUAUUUCUCAGAGCCGAUCAGUCAAAAGACCAAUUUA